RNAcentral lists this ribosomal RNA (271 nucleotides) under uncultured bacterium. Its description in RNAcentral is "partial 16S ribosomal RNA". It matches the Rfam family "Bacterial small subunit ribosomal RNA", at positions 84 to 353 of the family's 1533-position model. The record is from RNAcentral.
UUUGAUGGCGACCGGCGCACGGGUGAGUAACACGUAUCCAACCUGGCCGAUGACUCGGGGAUAGCCUUUCGAAAGAAAGAUUAAUACCCGAUGGCAUAGUUCUUCCGCAUGGUGGAACUAUUAAAGAAUUUCGGUCAUCGAUGGGGAUGCGUUCCAUUAGGUUGUUGGCGGGGUAACGGCCCACCAAGCCUUCGAUGGAUAGGGGUUCUGAGAGGAAGGUCCCCCACAUUGGAACUGAGGCACGGUCCAAACUCCUACGGGAGGCAGCAUG